UACGUAGGGUGCGAGCGUUAAUCGGAAUUACUGGGCGUAAAGCGUGCGCAGGCGGUUCGUUGUGUCGGUGGUGAAAUCCUGGAGCUCAACUCCAGAACUGCCUUUGAUACUGAGGAUCUUGAGUUCGGGAGAGGAAAGCGGAAUUCCGGGUGUAGCGGUGAAAUGCGUAGAUAUCCGGAGGAACACCGGUGGCGAAGGCGGCUUCCUGGACCGAUACUGACGCUGAGGCGCGAAAGCUAGGGGAGCAAACGGG
RNAcentral lists this ribosomal RNA (253 nucleotides) under uncultured bacterium. RNAcentral describes it as "partial 16S ribosomal RNA". It matches the Rfam family "Bacterial small subunit ribosomal RNA", at positions 524 to 776 of the family's 1533-position model. The record is from RNAcentral.